GUGCAGCAGGCGCGAAAACUUUACAAUGCCGGCAGCGGCGAUAAGGGGACCUCGAGUGCCAGGUUACAAAUCUGGCUGUCGUGAUGCCUAAAAAGCAUUGCAUAGCAAGGGCCGGGCAAGACCGGUGCCAGCCGCCGCGGUAACACCGGCGGCUCGAGUGGUAACCGUUAUUAUUGGGUCUAAAGGGUCUGUAGCCGGCCAGAUAAGUCUCUUGAGAAAUCCAGCAGCUCAACUGUUGGGCUUUCAGGAGAUACUGUCUGGCUCGAGGCCGGGAGAGGUGAGAGGUACUUCAGGGGUAGGGGUGAAAUCUUGUAAUCCUUGAAGGACCACCAGUGGCGAAGGCGUCUCACCAGAACGGACCUGACGGCAAGGGACGAAAGCUAGGGGCACGAACCGGAUUAGAUACCCGGGUAGUCC
Molecule: ribosomal RNA, 417 nt
Filed under: uncultured archaeon
Lineage: Archaea
Description: bacterial SSU rRNA
Rfam family: Archaeal small subunit ribosomal RNA
Source: RNAcentral